This 377-nucleotide ribosomal RNA is filed under the name Cranchiidae environmental sample cf. Leachia sp. Its description in RNAcentral is "partial 16S ribosomal RNA". The record is from RNAcentral. Lineage: Eukaryota; Metazoa; Mollusca; Cephalopoda; Oegopsida; Cranchiidae.
GAGGCUAGAAUGAAUGGUUUGACGAAGGUUAAGCUGUCUCUAUCUUAUUUUUUAGAAUUUAAUCUUCAAAGUGAUAAAGCUUAAAUUUUUUAAAGGGACGAGAAGACCCUAUAGAGCUUAUAAUUUUAGGGUUGCUUAACAUUAGUUAUUUGGGGAGCAAUUUAUAAAUUUUAAUUGGGGUGAUUAAGGAAUAAAUAAGAAAAUAAUAUAAUAACUUCCUUAGAUUGAAAUAUUGUUAAAUAAAGUAACCAAUGUUAUUAUUGCUUUUAUAAUAGUUACCAUAGGGAUAACAGCGUAAUCUGUUUAGAGAGUUCUUAUUGAAAAAUGGGAUUGCGACCUCGAUGUUGGAUUAAAGUAACCUCACGGUGCAGAAGCUU